CGGGCUGCUGGCGGACCCGCCGCUGCUGGCGGCCUACGGCGCCGCCGCGGUCGAGCGGGCCGCGUCCCGCUACAGCUGGG
This 80-nucleotide transfer RNA is filed under the name Planobispora longispora. RNAcentral's name for it is "tRNA-Arg". The record is from RNAcentral. Lineage: Bacteria; Bacillati; Actinomycetota; Actinomycetes; Streptosporangiales; Streptosporangiaceae.